UCCCAGGUGGCUCAGAUAGUAAAUCUGCCUGCAAUGCAGGAGACCCAGGUUCGAUCCCUGGGUUGGGAA
RNAcentral lists this transfer RNA (69 nucleotides) under Bos taurus (domestic cattle). It matches the Rfam family "tRNA". From Rfam's summary of the family: Transfer RNA (tRNA) molecules are approximately 80 nucleotides in length. Their secondary structure includes four short double-helical elements and three loops (D, anti-codon, and T loops). Further hydrogen bonds mediate the characteristic L-shaped molecular structure. tRNAs have two regions of fundamental functional importance: the anti-codon, which is responsible for specific mRNA codon recognition, and the 3' end, to which the tRNAs corresponding amino acid is attached (by aminoacyl-tRNA synthetases). tRNAs cope with the degeneracy of the genetic code in two manners: having more than one tRNA (with a specific anti-codon) for a particular amino acid; and 'wobble' base-pairing, i.e. permitting non-standard base-pairing at the 3rd anti-codon position. Lineage: Eukaryota; Metazoa; Chordata; Mammalia; Artiodactyla; Bovidae. The record is from Rfam by way of RNAcentral. RNAcentral also lists the same sequence under 3 other names.